CUUGCGGUAGCAGCGUGACUUACGGCCGCCCCCUCGGAGAAAGCCGUUGAGGACGGAAUGCAGAAGCCGGUACCGGCUCGCAAGCACCGCGAGCUGGCCGCUCUCCAGAAUGACCCAGUCAGUGGUCGUACAGGUCGGCCAGUGCGGAAACCAGAUCGGCUGUUGCUUCUGGGACCUGGCGCUAAGGGAGCACGCUGCGGUCAACCAGAAAGGAAUUUAUGAUGAGGCAAUAAGCAGCUUCUUUAGAAAUGUGGAUACCAGAGUGGUUGGUGAUGGUGGAAGUAUUUCCAAGGGAAAAAUACGUUCUUUAAAAGCACGAGCCAUCUUGAUUGAUAUGGAGGAAGGGGUAGUGAAUGAAAUUCUGCAGGGACCACUGAGAGAUGUAUUUGAUACGAAUCAGCUCAUCACUGAUAUUUCUGGCUCAGGAAAUAAUUGGGCUGUGGGUCACAAAGUUUUCGGCAGUCUUUACCAAGACCAGAUUUUAGAGAAACUCAGAAAGUCGGCAGAGCAGUGUGAUUGCUUGCAGUGUUUCUUUAUAAUACAUUCCAUGGGAGGAGGAACAGGAUCUGGACUUGGCACCUUUCUUUUAAAGAUGCUUGAAGAUGAAUUCCCAGAAGUAUACAGAUUUGUAACUUCCAUUUAUCCUUCUGAUGAGGAUGAUGUCAUAACCUCACCUUAUAAUAGCAUCUUGGCAAUGAAGGAACUUAAUGAACAUGCAGACUGUGUGUUGCCCAUUGACAAUCAAUCUUUAUUUGACAUCAUUAGCAAAAUUGACCUCAUGGUGAAUUCUGGAAAGUUGGGUACAACUGUGAAGCCAAAGAGUCUGGUUACUUCAAGUUCUGGGGCUUUAAAAAAGUGUCAUAAGAAGCCCUUUGAUGCAAUGAACAACAUUGUGGCAAAUCUGCUGCUCAACCUAACAAGCUCUGCAAGAUUUGAAGGGUCCCUUAAUAUGGACCUUAGUGAAAUCAGCAUGAAUUUAGUUCCUUUUCCCCAGCUUCAUUAUCUCGUGGCAAGCCUAACACCUCUAUAUACACUGGCAGAUGUUAGCAUUCCUCCUAGAAGAUUGGAUCAGAUGUUUUCAGAUGCCUUUAGUAAAGAUCACCAGCUGCUUCGGGCAGACCCCAAACACAGUCUUUACCUUGCUUGUGCGCUCAUGGUGAGAGGAAAUGUACAAAUUUCAGAUCUUCGCAGAAAUAUUGAAAGAUUAAAACCAUCUCUACAAUUUGUCUCCUGGAAUCAAGAAGGCUGGAAGACCAGCCUGUGUUCCAUACCUCCUGUGGGCCAUUCUCAUUCAUUGUUAGCUUUAGCAAAUAACACUUGUGUGAAGCCCACCUUCAUGGAACUGAAGGAGAGAUACAUGAGGCUCUACAAGAAAAAGGCUCACCUUCAUCACUAUCUACAAGUUGAAGGGAUGGAAGAAAGCUGUUUCACAGAAGCUGUGUCAUCUUUGUCAGCACUCAUACAGGAAUAUAACCAACUGGAUGCCACAAAAAACAUGCCUGUGCAAGAUUUACCCAGACUAAGCAUAGCUGUUUGGUGUUUUCAUUGGUUACCCUAUUAGAUAUUCCCAUCCCACAUGUUCUGGAGCAGGCAGUCCACUUUGUUGCUUGCACAAGACAUUUUUUUUUCCAAAUAAGUGGGAGAUUUCUAUAAUCUAAAACAAAGGGAGAAAAGUAUGUAUGUAUACAUAUAAAUGUAUAGAUAGAUAAUUUUUAAUCAUGUUUAACCUAAUAUUUAAGAAAUCUGAAUUUUUUUAUAUAAUGUAAUUCAGAAUAAAGAAACUGAUGGUCUAAUUUAUCAUUCUAUCUCCCUCUUUCCCAAUCCCAAAAUUACCUUUCAAUCAAGUAUUACAGUCUAAUCUCUAAGAAGGAAUAAAAAUACUUUAUCUUAGAAAAAGUGAGAUUUACUCAUUUGCAUCUUUCUGCUUAGCCUGUCUUCUGAAUACUAAAUGUAAGCUUAUGUUCUUGUUGAUAAGUUGUCUUUUCCCUGGUUCUUGCCUCAUUAUUUAACAGACAUUGAAAUGAAAAUUAAGGAAUUUGAGAUAUUGAUGAGAACAGUGUGAUCUUAAUGUUAACUUUCAUGAUAUGUUAAAAUCUAAAAUACAAAAAGUAUGUUUGAGAAUUAGACUAUCAAUGAAAGGAUUUCUUCCAUUUGUUUUAAUCUAGUCUUUUAGAAAACUAAGUAAUAUUACACUGAACUAAACUAUCUAAUCAUUUAUAUACAAAGUCAUUGCAAAUGGAUAAUUUCAUUCAUCCAACUUAAUUUCAAUACUCCUUGUGUUAAUCAGGCCCAAGGCACUCUCCAAUUGGCUAUGAUUUCAGAUUACUUAUGAAAAAACUGAAUGAAUGGAUCAAUAGAUAAGUCAGUGAGUGAGUAGAUAGAGCCCCUCCAAUGUCUACUGCUAAGGAGAAAUAGAAGAGGGUAAUAAUGAGAAUAUAAGAGAGUAUAAUAAUUCUCCCAUUUCUGUGUAAGGUCAUUGGGAGCUUUUUGUUAUAAAUGAAUCAGGCCCUUGGCUCAUUUUAAGCAGACUACAUAUUGACUUGUUGUCUCAAGGCAUUUCCUUAAAGUAAAUGUGCAUCUUGAAAUGGAUGCUUUGGAGUGUGGUUGUGAUUUGAUUCUGCAUAGCAAAAUUCUGGCUAUAUUACUUCAAAAAAUCAAUUUACAACUUGAAAAAGACUCAGAAAAAAAAUGCCUUCUUCAUAGGAAAUAGUCUCUUUUAAGUAUGUGCCAUCUUUGAAUUGAUGGUAUGAUACUGCUUUUAGUGUUAUUACAGUAGAAUCUGUCACAAUUGCACAUAGAACUGAGGGAGAGGAAGUAGAAACGUGAAGAUACCUGGAAGGUAGACAACAGUUUAAAGACCUCAAUGCAGGAAGCAGAUUAGAAGCCUGGCACGUAUCUGCAAUAAAUAAAGGCAGGUUAGAUUACCGUGGUACAGUAAUCCCACUUGUUAAACCAAGAGCUGUAGUUCAGGAGUUUAACAUUCAUUAAAAAGCAAGAAAACUAGAAGAGAUUUUUGAAACAAAGCUUAGUGUUUGGUGAGCAAUGAAAAAAGCAUGAGGGCAUUAUGUCAUUGCAUGCUUCAUACUGACCUAGCAAAAGCUAGAUUCCAACCAGAGACUAUAUAAAUUACCAUCACAAAUUUUUCUUAAAGUUUGUGUUUUUAUCAUUGUGGUUAAUUUUAAAAGCCAAAUUCCUGUGUGGGCCGUAAACAUAAUUUCACAGUUAAGCAAAGAAGAGACCUUAGACUGAACGUCUUCUUCCUUUGAAACACAUCCAGGUCUAAAUCUCAAAUACCAGAGAACAUUUCAGGAGAUUUUCUUGUUUUACGUGACAAAGCACUAACUACUAAGACUGACUAUCGGAUGCUUCUCCCAACCAAGGUCAAAGUGAAUCCACUGAACUGCUCCAAAUUCUCAGAUGAGACCAACUUGAACUUGAUCCAAAGGGCUUUACUUGUGGAAAACUGCUCUAAGACAUUUAUCCCUGUCUGAGGCAAAGAUUGAGUAAGAUGAUGUACUCAAACUGUAUCUCACUCUGACCACCAAUCAAUAAGUACUUAACUGGGUACCUGUGGUACAUAAAAGGAACAUAAAAGAAUACCACCAUGCUCAUACAUGAAAAAUAGCUCUACUUUUGAGCACCUGGCAUUGUUUUGUAGCUUGUUGAAAGCUGCUGUAGUAAUGGUUCCAGGCCACAGUUUGACUGAUCAGACUUCUUUCCACCUUUGGCUCCAGAGCAGUGACUGUCAGCCAGCUUUGGUAUGAACAGAGGCGUGCAUCCAAUGGCCCCACUCACACAGAGGCAGCUAAACAAGGGGUUGGGCUGAAACACUUGGCCAUUAUGAUAGUGUACCCCAUUGAGCUCGCAUCCAACAGCUACAAGGUCUGAAAAGUGAAAAGAGCAAAAUCACCAAAGAAGCCAUAACCUGUGACAGUCUGGACCUCCAAUUAUAAACCUGAGAAGAAAUGGCUUAUCUCCUGAAUGAAGUAUAGCUUUCAACCUCUUAGGUCUCGUUUGGAAUUUCCUUCACAGGACAUCUGUAGAAAGGUUUUUAAAAUGAGGCUUUUUCAUUAUAUUGUAGGCUAUAAACCCCACAUGGUCACUUCCAGAGUUAAGACCAAGUAAAGACCCUGCAAAAUCACGGUAAGCAUAGCAGUUGAUAAUAAAUCUGAGCUAGGUUGAUGCUUAGUGAGACAGGUUUUCUCAGACAUCCAGCAAUAGGCUAGGAUAUAUUCUCAGAAAGACAGGAUAAGUGACUAUCUGAAAAAACUAUAACUUAGUUAACUAUGGAACUGCAAAGUACUGAUGGUUUUUGUUAAGAGGUUGUAGGAGAGUUUCACUUCCUCUGAGGGGUAUUCUUGACCUUCUAGAUCAGCUGUUCCCCAAGUAUGGUCCUCUAACUGCUUGGCAGUACCUGAGACACUUUCAGGGGAUCUGCAAGGUCAAAACUCUUUUCCAAAUACUAAGGUGUGGCUGGCGUUUUUCACUGUGUUGGUAUUUGCACUGGCGGUACAAAAGCAAUCAUGGCUAAACUGCUGGUGCCUUGGCAUGAAUCACACUGUAGAGGUAAUCUUGUAUUUUUCCUUGCAGGCACUUAUACUUUAAAAGAGGUCGGGAGAGUUUUACUUAACAAUGUCCUUUAUGGCAUAGUAAAAAGUAUUAAUUUUAUUAACUCUUAAUUAUCAAGUACUGGUCUUUUUAGUAUUCUAUGUGACAAAAUAGGAAAUAUAUAUAGAAUAUUCUAGUGCAAUAGCUGUCUUGAAACUUAAGCAAAUAGCUGUCUCAGGGAAACUUAAGGAACUAUGUCAUUGGUAAAGUUGUGAGCUGAACUAACCACUUUUUUUAGUAGGAAUUUACUUGAAGAAAUGACUGACAAUAAACUGGUUAUUCAGACUUGGGUAUUUUGGAAACAUUUUUUUUUUUUUAAUGAGCAAAAUAAGCCUGUCACUUCAAGGAAAACGACUGUGACAGCAUUUUUUGCCAGUGAGAAAACUCAAGAUUUCAAGGAAAAAUCAGAAUUUUGGAAAACUCGUAUCCAUCACUGAAAUCUUUGUAUUUAUCCAAUAUGUAGAUUCUUCUGAUGAGGAUGAUAUUAAUGUGAUUUUUUUUAGCGUUACAUAAUUAAGUGUAUCAAUAUUUUGGACAUCUCUACAUCACAGUAAACAUAUUUUCCAAAUAAACAAUGCAUAGAAUGGUAAUAUUAUGCAUGAAUAAAAGAUCUAUUCCAAAUGGGUCUUGGAUAGACCAAUGCAUUUUAAUGUCACAGAGCUGAAAAUUCAUUGAUGUGGUUUCAAAUUCUCUGAUGCAGCUAAUUUUUAAGACACUAUCACUUGUCAAGUUUUAAUAUAAUAUCAAUAAACAUAAAAGUAUAUUCACAAUUAUCAGAAAAACCUUUUAAAAUAUUCCUCCCUUUUCAAAUUAUAUAGCUGUGUGAUGCUAGAUUUUCUUCACAUACUUCAACAAAAAAAAGCACAUAGUAACAGGUUGAAAAAAGCAAUAAAUAUGUGAAUCUAGCUAACUUCUAUUGAGCUAGACACUAGAGAGGUUUGCAACAAAAUGUAAAACAAUGACACUCUUUUACUAAACUUUUCUUUGGCAAAUAAGUUAUACAUAUUUUAUAAAAACAUAUUAUUCUUAUUAAUCUGCAAUGGGUUUAUUCUUUGUAAAUUAAUAAAUAUUUCUAAGUUUCUAAUCCAUCAAAUAUCAACGGAUAAACCCCACAUAAAAUCUCUUUAGAUCCUCAUUAAUUUCUAAGAGUAUAAAGAGGUAAUUUCUAAGACUGUAAAGGGGGUCCUCAUAUCAAAAAGUUUUUAAAACAUUGCUCUUGAUCAGGGAUCACCAAAUUUUCUAUAAAGAGCCAAACAGAAAACAUAUUAGCCUUUGCAAGCCAGAGAGUGUCUGUCAAAACUACUGACUCUGCAUCGUAGAGCAGCCAUAGAAUCUAUGUUAAUGUACGUGCCAUGUUCCAAUAAAGCAUUAUUUACAGAAACAGGCUAUUGGCUAGAUUUGACCCUAUAUAGUUUGGUGUCCCAGUUAUAGAUUAUCCCUAUUACUAUCCUCAUGGCUAUGCUCUGUAAAAAAGUCUCAUCACAUUUUGUGUGAAAUUACUGUGGAAAUAUCUGACACCUUAAUAUUUGAUUCUCUGAGGCCAAGGCUUGUAUCACUUUUUCCCUGUCAUAUCCUCAGUUGCUGGCCACAGUGAAUGGUCACUAAGUGUUUGUUGGGUUAAUGAAAUAACCUGCCCAGCUUGGGAGAAAUGAGUGUCCUGAAUGCCAUUGUUUGAUAGGUCAUGUUUUCCUUAUAGGAUUCCAAUAAAUAACAUUUUUGAGAACCUACUGAAUACCAGAUAUUGUGCUAGGUGUUUUAGGUCAUUUUAUUUGAUCCUCCUAGCAACUCUGUAAGUUAGGAAGUGUAUAUUAUGUAACUGAGGCACAGAGAGAAUAAAUAUCUUGAUCAAGUAUGUUCACUUGGCAGAGCAAUCAGGACUUGAACCCAGAUCCCACAUUUUUAACCAUACAAUACAGGGCUGGCAGGGUCAUCAGGCUAUCAAACUUGAGUUUGACACAUUCAGUCUGACUCCAAAGAUAGAUUCUCAUUCCGUGGCUCAUAACUGUACCUCUAAUAGUAAUCUGCCUUCCUUCUUAGACUUUUUUACAGACAGACUAAACUGUCUGGUGACAUAAGUAUUUCUCUUCCCUUAGAAAUUUUUUUUUAAUCCUAAAUAAUUUGGCAUCCUGAAUUAGUGUCAAUGUUUAGAUGGUCUGAAUCAGUCUCCAAAGCUUAGUAAUAUAAAGCUGAGGGUCAGGUUGUGGUUUGGGAUGACUUCACCUUUUUUUUUUUUUUUUUUUUUUUUUUUUUUUUAACAAAUCUGCUGAAGUAAAGCACAGCAACUCAAUCAUUAGUUGGGAAAGCUGAGGUUAAAGUCAUAUGUCUGAAUACUGGGUAUACAUUCUAAUAUUUUUAAGCUGACUAUUUUUUGUUACGGAAAAGGCUGAAUUCAGAUUGUUUUUUGACUGUAUUAACUAAAGCUGUCAUUUUGUAGCACUUUAAGAAGUCAGACUCUAUUUGGAUAAUUCCUCUUACCUUCAAUCAGUAAAUUACCUGAGAAGAACUGCAAGAUCACCUUAACGCAGUGAAAAUAAUGGGUUUCUAAAUGUGUGUAAGCAUCUGCUAAUAUAGGAUCCACUACAAUGGAGACAGUCCCACUAGUGCAUGAAAACUAAAUCCAUCUCAUAUUUAGCCAAAUUGAGCUCAUCACUCAAAGCUAAUUGCAGGAGAAAAAAAAAAAAA
This is an RNA transcript of Sapajus apella (tufted capuchin), 7290 nucleotides long. It is a transcript of the gene named tubulin epsilon 1, with no coding region annotated. The record is from RefSeq and is a predicted model, not a curated record. The transcript has 14 exons. NCBI's taxonomy places the organism in Eukaryota, Metazoa, Chordata, Mammalia, Primates, Cebidae.